UAGAAAUGGGGCAGGCAGGGUUAGCAAAGAAUACCUGUCCCUUGUCAGCCUCAUAAGGCAGUUGGAAGAAUGAAUGAGAUUAUGUCAAGAAGGCCAUUCGAGUUCCUCAGAGAAGGGCACUCUCUAAAUGCAGGGCAUGAUUAUGUGUCACUCCCAGGAAGAGGGAGAGCCAGGUUGUCUCUCAGGCACUCUCCACCUGUCACUGUAAUUGCAGAGACACUUUAAUAAUGGAGCAGAGCACUCGCUGGUCGGAAGGUGCAGGUCGCAGGUGCAGGAUUCUGUUUGAGGACCUGUGCAAGCUUUCCUAACAGGCUGGGGGCAGGGAGUGAAGCUGAAUGCAGAAAUCCUGUCCUCAGCUUUAAGGACUCCCUCCUCCUACCCGCUCUUCCCCCCAGAGGUGGAACCCCUGAGCAGACAGGCACUCCAUGAAUGCUCCUUUGCAGAAUUGGAUGGAACGACACUCUAUGCCGAGCAUCACUCCGGGGUGAUACAAGGAGAGGGGACUCUCAGGUGGGCCCAGUGGAUGGACAUUACUGGAAGACAGAUUUGUGAAGAGUUGAAGGGGGUGGAGAGUGGACAUCAUUACAAUAAUAUGCUUCAUACAAGGAAGAGCAGCCAAAACACGGGUCAGUUUUAAAGAUGGGAUCUUCUAUGUUCACCAGGCUCGCCUCAAACUCAGGUUCACUGCUUUAGAUCCAGGGCGUGACCCAACUAGCAUCACUGGUAUCACAGCUUGUGAGAAAUGCUGAAUGUCAGGCCUCAGCCCAGACCUGCUGAAACAGACUGCAUUUUAACAAGACUCCCAGGUGAUUCCUGCACACAUUAAAGUUCAUCUUUGCCAAAUAGA
Molecule: long non-coding RNA, 847 nt
Organism: Chlorocebus sabaeus (green monkey)
Lineage: Eukaryota; Metazoa; Chordata; Mammalia; Primates; Cercopithecidae
Source: RefSeq, a predicted model, not a curated record